UGGGGAAUAUUGGGCAAUGGGCGAAAGCCUGACCCAGCAAUGCCGCGUGGAGGAAGACGCCCUUCGGGGUGUAAACUCCUUUUGUAGGGGAAGAAAUUGACGGUACCCUACGAAUAAGCUCCGGCUAACUCCGUGCCAGCAGCCGCGGUAAUACGGGGGGAGCGAGCGUUACUCGGAAUCACUGGGCGUAAAGGGUGCGUAGGCGGUUUGGUAAGUUAGGAGUGAAAGCCCACAGCUCAACUGUGGAACUGCUUCUAAAACUGCCAGACUAGAGUCCGGGAGAGGCUGCGGGAAUUCCUGGUGUAGGGGUGAAAUCCGUAGAGAUCAGGAAGAAUGCCGAAAGCGAAGGCGCGCAGCUGGAACGGUACUGACGCUGAGGCACGAAAGCGUGGGGAGCAAACAGG
This 404-nucleotide ribosomal RNA is filed under the name uncultured bacterium. Its description in RNAcentral is "bacterial SSU rRNA". It matches the Rfam family "Bacterial small subunit ribosomal RNA", at positions 355 to 776 of the family's 1533-position model. The record is from RNAcentral.